RNAcentral lists this small RNA (28 nucleotides) under Bombyx mori (domestic silkworm). RNAcentral describes it as "ovarian small RNA-21402". Lineage: Eukaryota; Metazoa; Arthropoda; Insecta; Lepidoptera; Bombycidae. The record is from RNAcentral.
UACUCGGAGAACCCACCAUGCCCUGUUA